ACGAACGCUGGCGGCGUGCUUAACACAUGCAAGUCGAACGAGAGACGGUGAAAAGCUUGCUUUUAAUCGAAUCGAGUGGCAAACGGGUGAGUAACGCGUAAACAACCUGCCCCUGGGAUGGGGACAACAGCUGGAAACGGCUGCUAAUACCGAAUGAGCUCCACGUGCCGCAUGGCAGGAGGAGGAAAGGGUGGCCUCUGGAACAAGCUACCGCCGAGGGAGGGGUUUGCGUCUGAUUAGCUAGUAGGUGGGGUAACGGCUCACCUAGGCGACGAUCCCUAGCUGGUCUGAGAGGAUGACCAGCCACACUGGAACUGAGACACGGUCCAGACUCCUACGGGAGGCAGCAGUGGGGAAUAUUGCACAAUGGGCGCAAGCCUGAUGCAGCCAUGCCGCGUGUAUGAAGAAGGCCUUCGGGUUGUAAAGUACUUUCAGCGGGGAGGAAGGGAGUAAAGUUAAUACCUUUGCUCAUUGACGUUACCCGCAGAAGAAGCACCGGCUAACUCCGUGCCAGCAGCCGCGGUAAUACGGAGGGUGCAAGCGUUAAUCGGAAUUACUGGGCGUAAAGCGCACGCAGGCGGUUUGUUAAGUCAGAUGUGAAAUCCCCGGGCUCAACCUGGGAACUGCA
RNAcentral lists this ribosomal RNA (628 nucleotides) under uncultured Escherichia sp. RNAcentral describes it as "bacterial SSU rRNA". It matches the Rfam family "Bacterial small subunit ribosomal RNA", at positions 29 to 625 of the family's 1533-position model. The record is from RNAcentral. Lineage: Bacteria; Pseudomonadati; Pseudomonadota; Gammaproteobacteria; Enterobacterales; Enterobacteriaceae.